GUAUUGACUUUGCAACACCACUAUUACAGCUGGAAUGAUACAAAAAAAUUAGAAUGGCCCCCAUGUAAGGCUGAUGUGCAAUUAUGAGAAGUGUUCUGUAUUUUU
Small nuclear RNA from Vombatus ursinus (common wombat), 105 nucleotides. NCBI's taxonomy places the organism in Eukaryota, Metazoa, Chordata, Mammalia, Diprotodontia, Vombatidae. The record is from Ensembl.